AAAUAAAGAAAGAACAGAAACAAACAAAACACACUUCACGUUUAUCUCCCUUUUUAUCUUAUUUUUUUUCUCUUAC
This 76-nucleotide non-coding RNA is filed under the name Skeletonema costatum. The record is from RNAcentral. Lineage: Eukaryota; Bacillariophyta; Thalassiosirophyceae; Thalassiosirales; Thalassiosiraceae.